Molecule: ribosomal RNA, 509 nt
Filed under: uncultured bacterium
Lineage: Bacteria
Description: bacterial SSU rRNA
Rfam family: Bacterial small subunit ribosomal RNA
Source: RNAcentral
GGCUCAGGAUGAACGCUAGCUACAGGCUUAACACAUGCAAGUCGAGGGGCAGCAUGUUGGUUGCUUGCAACCAAUGAUGGCGACCGGCGCACGGGUGAGUAACGCGUAUCCAACCUUCCCCUUAGUAGAGGAUAGCCCGGCGAAAGUCGGAUUAAUACUCUAUGUUCUUCAAUGCGGACAUCUAAGUUGAAGCAAAGAUUUAUCGCUAAGGGAUGGGGAUGCGUCUGAUUAGGUUGCAGGCGGGGUAACGGCCCACCUGGCCUACGAUCAGUAGGGGUUCUGAGAGGAAGGUCCCCCACACUGGUACUGAGACACGGACCAGACUCCUACGGGAGGCAGCAGUGAGGAAUAUUGGUCAAUGGGCGCGAGCCUGAACCAGCCAAGUAGCGUGCCAGGACGACUGCCCUAUGGGUUGUAAACUGCUUUUAUCAGGGAAUAAAGUGAGGCACGCGUGCCUUUUUGUAUGUACCUGGUGAAUAAGGACCGGCUAAUUCCGUGCCAGCCGCCGC